GCCUCUACACAAUAACUGAUCGAUAGAUUUUAAGAAAAAAAAAAUUCCUUUUAGUUUGGUAUAUACUUCAACUCAACUAUGUCAGAUAAACAUAUACUCACAUAAUUAAUAUUAAUACAUAAUAAUUAUUCAUACAAGACUUAAAUACAACCUACCCCUCUGUAAAAAUACAACACUUUUCAACAUCAAGGGCGAGGGGAAAUAAACCCAAAAGCAACUAGCCAAACAAGCCUUCUAUUCGUCCGUAGCUUUUCAAUUAGCCAUCUUGUCUGUACCUCUAAAAAUGAUUUUUUUAAAAAACUUUGGAGUGAGAACAAAGCCACACGUUCUUAGUAGGGAAUGUGAAUGCCGCAAAAAAACAGAGUAAAUACAAAUAGCUAGCUCAUAUCACAAAAACAAUUUCACUUAAAACUGCUUUAAAUUCCUUUCUUUAAAUCACGUUACUUAAACAAAAUCCCAGUCACAUAAACAAUUCCUUAUCCAUAAACAACAUUCCUAAAUACAUUAUCAAGACCACAACACAAGUAAAGUAUCUAUAAAGCACACGGGCACAUCACCAAAAUAACAGCACAAUCACAAAUAAAUAAAAAUAAAGCAAACACAAUCAAAUGUAAAUGCGCAAACAAGAUGAUGCAUGCCUGUUCCUAGCGCAGACCAUGAGCUCAUGCGUUGGUUGUCUACCCGCAACCCGACGUUACUCGGAGUGAACUCCGAAUAUGGUCCCUUUACUGUGUCAAUUAGACACCUUGGCAUCACGGUUACCCGUGUCAAUUAGGCCUCAUUAUAAUAACAGUUCAAUGUGUAUCACAGUAAGGAACAGUGCUAUCAAUUAGGCGAACAUUCCCGCAUUAGCAAUCUCAGGCUAUCAAUUAGGCGGGCAAUUUCGCAUUAGCAGUUGGCACAAGGCCCAUUUAACAUACAAUUCUCAUUCAUUUAUUCCAUUCAUGACUUUUCAUUUUCUUUCAUUUCAUUAUACUGUUAUGGUUGCUCUAGUAUCCUUACUGUUAGGGCAGAAUUGAAUGUAGAAGAUAAGGGUAGAAGGAAAGAACAGAGUAACUGAACAGAGGAAGGAAUUAUCGAUGUGAUAAUUACCCCACUGACAGAAUAACUAUUAUAGAUUUAAAUGAAAGAAAAACAAGAAUAAUUGACUUUCGAGAGGUCAAUUCUCUCCUACUAGAUUUUCACUCCACUUAUUUCCUGCCUACUAGCUUUUCCAGCCUUCCUAUUUAUAAUAUCUACUCCUAUAACUACUGUCCUAAAGAUGUGGAGUUUCAAAAUUUAAAAUUCAUUUUGCUACUUUUUCUCCUCUCCUUUUAUAAGUAUACUUAAAAGGAGUUAAAUCCCUAUUAUCUCUCUGGUUUGUUGCAAUACCCCCCUCCCAUGAAGAGCCACCUUGUCCUCAAGGUGGAAAGAGGGAAAUGUUGUUUGUAAUGUUGCUGCUGACUCCCAAGUGUUCUCGAAAUCUAGCAGUUCUUUCCAUUUGAUAAGGACCUCAAGAUCUCCCUGAUUGUUGUAGCGGCUGUCAACGGCGUGUUCAGGUUCGACCAGCAAUUCCCCUUCUUCCGUGAGUGCUUCGGGUAAUGGUUGAGGAUGUAAGGAGGGUCCAACACUUUUCUUCAACUAGGAAAUAUGAAAAACAGGGUGUAUUCUUGCGGUGUCAGGCAAUUUCAGCCUGUAGGCCACUGCCCCAAUCCUUUCUAGCACCUCAAAAGGACCAUAAAACCUUGCACCCAACUUCUGAUUUGAUCUGGUCGCCAAGGACUUCAUCCGAUAUGGUUGAAGUUUGAGAUACACAAAGUCCCCUACUGCAAAAGACACAUCACGUCUUUUCUUGUCUGCACUUUGUCUCAUUCUGUUCUGAGCCUUAUUAAGUUGAAAUUGAAUUUCAUCCAGCAUCUGAUUUCGUUCCUCCAAUAAGACCCUCACUUCCUCCACUGAAGAUUCCAUCCCUCCUCGUAAUAAAGCUGGAGGUUCCCUGCCAUAUAACGCUCGAAAAGGUGUCAUCCGAAUAGAGCCAUGGUAUGAGGUAUUAUACCAAAACUCUGCCCAAGAAAGCCACGCUGGCCAUUGUUUAGGUUUAGCACCAGUUAAGCAUCGCAGGUAGGUUUCUAAGCAUUUAUUCACCGCCUCAGUUUGGCCGUCAGUCUGUGGGUGAUAGGCCAAGGACAUCUUCAAAGUAGUACCGGCCUGUUUAAAAACUUCAGUCCAGAAAGCACUCAUGAAUAUUUUGUCUCGAUCGGAGACAAUUGAAGAUGGAAUACCAUGGAGGCGUACCACUUCCUUAAUGAACAAAACAGCAACAUCCUUCGCCGUAAAGGGAUGUGAAAGUGGGAAGAAAUGAGCAUAUUUAGUCAUGCGAUCCACCACCACAAAUAUCGUAUCCAUCCCUUUGGCUUUGGGUAAUCCUCCUAUGAAAUCCGUUGAGAUGUCAGCCCAUACAUUGGAAGGAAUCGGCAGCGGUUGUAGGAGACCAGCAGGUUGCAAGGUAGAGUGCUUGUUCUGCUGACAAAUUUCACAGCUUUUAAUAAAGUUCAUCACUGCUGCCUUCAUACCCUCCCAGUAAAGGAUAGCAGAAAUCCUCUUGUAAGUUCUAAAGAAGCCCGAAUGGCCACCCAGCUUGGAGCUAUGAAAUUCCAUCAGAAUUUUUGGAAUCCAUUUAGAGGUUUUUGCAAGCACUAGCCUCCCUUUAUAUUUGAGUUUUCCAUUCAUUAAUGCAAAACCGGGUGUAGUUUCUUCCCCCAUCAAUAACUUCUGCAUAAUCCCAUUUAAUUUCUCAUCAGCCAAUACUUCAGCCUCCAUAUCAUCCCACUCUGCUGCCAUGGAAAAAGACAGGGAGGAGAAAUGAAAUUUCCUAGAAAGGGCAUCAGCCACCCUGUUCUCUGUCCCUGCCUUAUAUUUAAUGUCAAAAUUGUAUCCCAGUAACUUGGAUAACCAUUUCUGCUGGCCUUCAUCUGCGACUCGCUGAUCUAAUAAAAACUUCAAGGACUGUUGAUCAGUAAAAACCGUGAAUUGCUGUCCCAUGAGAUAGUGUUUCCAUUUUUGAACAGCUAGGACAAUUGCCAUCAACUCUCUUUCGUAGACAGAUUUCCGCUGGGCUGUUUCCGAGAGUUUUUGGCUCAUAAAAGCAAUUGGCCGACCCUCCUGCAUCAAGACAGCACCCACACCCUUUCCAGAGGUAUCGGUUUCCAGCUGGAAGGGUUUAGAAAAGCAAGGAACGGCUAAAACCGGAACUGAGACCAUAGCUGUUUUGAGCAUUUGAAAAGCAGAUUCAGCAUCCUUACCCCAAUUAAAAGAGUCCUUUUUGAGAAGUUGGGUGAGAGGAGCAGCAAUAGCACCAUACCCCUUUACAAAACGCCGAUAAUAUCCGGUUAAGCCCAAGAAACCCCUCAAGCUGCGAAUAUCUUUUGGUGGAGGCCAGUCAAGCAUAUCUCUGAGUUUCUUAGGAUCAGCCGCCACCCCUUCGGCAGAGAUAACGUGGCCAAGGUACUCAAUGCUCGUUGCUUCAAAACAGUACUUCUUUUUAUUUACCAAUAAACUGUGCUGUCUUAGUACCUCAAAAAUAUUCUGCAAAUGACCUCUGUGGCUAAUGAGAUCCUUGCUAUAAAUAAGGAUGUCAUCGAAGAAAACUAGAGCAAAUUUUCUGAGAAACGGACGAAGUACAGUGUUCAUGAGAGCUUGAAAAGUGGAUGGAGCAUUUGUGAGGCCAAAAGGCAUUACAAGGAAUUCGUAAUGGCCGUCGUGGGUGCGGAAAGCUGUCUUAUGAAUAUCCUCCUCCUUCAUUCGAAUUUGAUGAUAUCCGGAUUUGAGAUCCAAUUUGGAAAACACUGUUGCACCAUCGAGCUCAUCCAAUAGCUCCUCUAUAAUAGGAAUAGGAAAUUUGUCUGGCACCGUGAUCUUAUUGAGGGCCCUAUAGUCGACGCAAAACCGCCACCCACCAUCCUUUUUCUUUACCAGAAUUACCGGGCUCGAGAAGGGGCUUGUGCUGGGCCGAAUAAUCCCAAUCUGCAGUAUUUCAUCAAUUAUUUUUUUCAUUUCUGCCUUCUGAUAAUGUGGAUAUCUGUAAGGUCUAAUGUUUGGAAUCUCUGCACUGUCUUUUAAUACGAUAGCAUGGUCGUGAGUUCUUUGUGGAGGAAGACUAGAUGGGGACUGAAAGACAUCCUCAAAUCGCUGCAAAAUUGCCAAAGUGGCUGACGAAACAGAUAGUUGGGCUUCUGUAGAAUCGGCAAUGAACACAGGGGUUACGAGAAAGCCCUCUUCAUUAUUUCUCAGGGCAUUUAAAGUCACUUUUGCACUAGCUCGACUUCUCCCUAAAGAGGGAUCACCUUGCAAGGUCACCUUCUUCCCAUUCAACAUCCAGCUCAAGGAUAAGGCAUUAUAAUCCCCUUCAAAUUUGCCCAAACUAGCAAUCCACCUUGCACCCAAAACUACUUCAGAACGUCCCAAUUCCAUCACCAAGAAAUCCGCCACAAUAGAAAGUCCUUGUACCAAUAUUUCCACUUUUUCACAGCCCCCUAACCCUUGCUCGAUUGCUCCAUUUCCAACCUCAAUUCGGAAAGGAGGCAGGUGUACCAAUGGCAAACCCAGUAUAGAGACGAGAGAAGAUGAAAUAAAAUUUGCCUCAGCCCCUGGGUCAACCAAUACGACCACCUCAACACCGUUUAUAGUAGCUCGUACCUUCAAAGUUUGGUGUGAUGUAAGUCCCCAAUAACUUAGAGAAGAGAGACGAAGAGAAAGACUGUUAAUGGUCACUACAGGUUCCUCCGAGGCCGAAUCUUCGCAACAAUCCUCGGGUUGUUCCUCCUCCUCCCCCAAGAGAAUGAGUUGUUGAUGUCUGAACUUGCAUGCGUGGCCAGGAUUCCACUUGUCCCUGCAUCGGAAACAGAGACCUUUGCGCUGUCUCUCACUCCAUUCCUCAUGUGAAAUCCAUCGUGAUAAAGGCUUUGUUAUGUUAGUGGUGGAAGGAGCCGAGGAAGUAUUGGAUUCUAUUUUACUAUGUGGGAUGGGUGUGGGCUGUUUAGUUACUGAAGGGGAUUGUGAAGUGGGCUGAGCCCAAUUAUUGGACCUGGCCCCGCUCCAGCCCAGACGGUUAGUAUUUUCAUAUCGUCUUCCUCCUGGGUGCGUUCCUUCUUCACGCCACGCUUCAUUCCUCGACUCUAACAUCAUGGCCCUAUCCAUCAGCGCCUGGAGGUUUUCAAACUCGGCAACUCGCAUCUCCGCUUUGAUCGACGGUUUGAGUCCUUCAUGGAACAUGCACAACAAAGUAUCUCCUUCCAAAUGUCUAUGUGCCCUAGCCGCUAUCUCAAAGUCCCUCCGAUACUCCAUAACCGACCCAUGUUGUCUCACUUGCAAUAAUGGCGCAAGAGGAUUCGCAUCUGCACCUGGCUCAAAUCGUUUGAGCAAAUCAUGUUUAAAACGAAUCCAUGAAGGGAAGGUGGAUUGAGACUCCCACCAUUCAAACCACGUUAGAGCUUCCCCAUGAAGUGCAAGCACCGCGUACUCGAGUUUCUCUUCCACCUGAAUCCUCGAUAUGCGAAAAUAACGAUCCAUUCGAACCAACCACCCACUCGCAUCCGAGCCAUCAAAGGAAGGAAUGUCCACUCUGCGAUUGAGAUCACCCCUGUUUGGAGUUGGAUCUCGCUGACGUCCGCCACCCGAAUCGUUGAUGCGUGAGUUCCCACUGCUCGAAUCCUGUUGUGGAAUUCGCAUCACCAAUUCAUCCAUCCUUUUCGUCAUCGUUUCCAUUAUUCUGUUUUGUUCAGAUCGAAACUCAUUCAACUGUUUCUCCAGACUCUCAACCCGAUCCUCCAUCGCACCUCCGCUGCGUGUGGAAACCAUUCACAGGAAGAAGCCCAGAUCGAACUUCUGAUACCAAUUGUUAAGCCGGCGUCCACGGCGGCUUCACUCUAUCGACACUGACCCAAUGGUAGCCACUUUGCUAUGGUCUAUCAGUAUUCGGUAUUCACCUUAAUCCAGCCUAUAGGUAGCUCUUUCCAUGGCGCCGACAACCAUGCUCUGAUACCAUUGUUAUGGUUGCUCUAGUAUCCUUACUGUUAGGGCAGAAUUGAAUGUAGAAGAUAAGGGUAGAAGGAAAGAACAGAGUAACUGAACAGAGGAAGGAAUUAUCGAUGUGAUAAUUACCCCACUGACAGAAUAACUAUUAUAGAUUUAAAUGAAAGAAAAACAAGAAUAAUUGACUUUCGAGAGGUCAAUUCUCUCCUACUAGAUUUUCACUCCACUUAUUUCCUGCCUACUAGCUUUUCCAGUCUUCCUAUUUAUAAUAUCUACUCCUAUAACUACUGUCCUAAAGAUGUGGAGUUUCAAAAUUUAAAAUUCAGUUUGCUACUUUUUCUCCUCUCCUUUUAUAAGUAUACUUAAAAGGAGUUAAAUCCCUAUUAUCUCUCUGGUUUGUUGCAUAUACCUCUGCAUCACCAAUUACAUACUCAUACCUCCGCAUCACCAUAUUAUUAAACAUACCUCCGCAUCACCGCUUAACUAUAUAUACCUCCGCAUCACCAAUUAACUUUAAACCCUUCCUAGUUGUUAUAGUACUAAUGAUUUAAAAGCAAAACUUGGUGUUGAGGUAAUUUGGUCACAAUAAAAACUUGUACCAUCUCUCUUAAAAUUCUGUUAUUGUUUCCUAAGAAAAUGCAGAAAAACAGCAGCAAGUAGUAAGUUUGAUAAAUUCCUUAAAAAUCCAAUUUUUACCCAAUGCCUUUCAAAAUUCACGACCUCAAACAAGACUCUUUUAGCUUUCUAUUGAAUCAAAUUCCAGAUUAAUACCAUGUGAUAUGAAAAAGUUAUGAAGUGAGAAACACAGCCAUGCCUUUUAGAAUUCGAUUUCGAAAAUCCAGUGAGCUAUCUAUACUCUUUUCAACAUAUCUACUUGGUUAAAUAGGGUAUUGACAUGAAAUUUAAAAUGAAGAUUGUGGACACAGAAAGCUUGAAAAUGCCGUUGGUUUCAGCUCAAAUACUUACCAGAAUUGAAAGUUAAGUGAGUUGGAAGUUAGUGCUUCUGCAGUAAAGAAACAGAAUUUUCUGCAGAAACCAUCAAUCUUCAAAAAUUCAUUUCUCCCAAACCACUCAUCAAUAAAUUCUGAAUUUUUUGAGAUGCUCAAAACACAUUAAAGUUUCAUAGAAAAAUAGUUUCAUUCAAAAUUAUGACCUAGACUGCUCCCAGAAAUUGAUUCUUUCUACUGUCAUGUAUGCAGAAAUUCUGCCUUAAGCAUUUCCAACAACCUUACUUAUCAAAAACCACAUUUGAACUUAUAACCCUUCCAAAAUCACACGUUUAACCUCUUGUCAGUUAUUCGAAAUUGUCUUCAUUGCCAACACAGCCCAAGAACCCAGAAUCAACAAUUUACACGAUUUCAAGUACUUAAACAUCAUCAAACCUUUACUUUUCUACAUAAUGCCAAGCAUAAUUUUCCAUAUACACUCAUCAAUUCACACCAGCAAGCUCAGCAACAAAAGUAACACCAUUUAUCCUAUCUCUUACAACAUUCAGUACGCAAAAUCAUCAUAAACAGAUACUAGCAACAAGUAUAACUUCAAAAUACACACCAUCAUCAUUAAUAAUUACUACAUUAAAUCAUCAAAUCAAUCACCAACUACAGAUAUAAUUCAACUCAACUCCGUCAAUUAUUCACACAAAGCAACCAUAAACCAUUUGCAGUUACUCAGUUAAUUUUAGUAGCAUUCAUGAGUUAAAACCUUUACUUUUAAAACAAAUCUCUUACCUCAAUUGGUCGAACUUCGAAAUUAACCCAACAAACCCUCUUUUGUUUUGAAUCAGCAGCGGCGACACCCCAAUGCAGUCGGAACAACAGCGGCAGUAGCAUCAAUUGAAACAGCAGCAACGCCAAUCACCUAUGGUGGUGGCAGUAACAGCAGCUCCGAUGUAGAACCAAGGUAGCAGCAGUAGCUUGUCCUCUCCAACAGUGGUUCUCACAGCAGCGCCAUAAGCUCUAUUGGGUAAAGAAGAUAGGGUUCAGUCAUGGUGGAGUGAAGCAGUAAUUAGAAACGGCAACACCCACAACAGCAGCAGCCCCAGUGGCAUCUCUUUUCACUCUUGACAAUAACGAUGAUGGCAAUAGCAGCGUGGUCUUCCUCUUUUCCCACCAUGUGCAGCAGCGACACCAACCCCUCCUUUCCUCUCCGCGACAGCGACGGCGCCGGGAGCGAUGACACCUAGCCCCGACGGCGGCGAGCCUCCCCUCCCUUCCUUCUUCUCGGAUGCCCUCUGCUUUCUCUCAGAUCGCUCUCUCCCUUUC
Molecule: long non-coding RNA, 8270 nt
Filed under: Arachis ipaensis
Lineage: Eukaryota; Viridiplantae; Streptophyta; Magnoliopsida; Fabales; Fabaceae
Description: long non-coding RNA (AIPA_LNC002403)
Source: RNAcentral